UUUAUCUUUUUCCUGUAAACGGAGAGUCAAUUUCCUGUGCGUCGUGCAUCGAAAAAUACCGCGAUUGCAUUCCGGAAUCCGGACGGAAAGUUUCAUAACGAUGGUCUGGACACAACUUGCAAUGCAAUACAGUGGAUGCUGAUCCGAACCCAAAAGCACAAAUGGAAAAAAAUAUUCUCGGAGUAAUGACCGGAAUAGAAUAUGGCAAGCGAUGCGCUUUAUAUCGGCAGAAAACGAGACUCGAUUGAAUCCGCGUUGUGAUUCCGUCACUUCCAGCAUUAUUUUAAACAUUGGAGCCACGGAUUUGAUUCAUCUUCCGAUCUGCUGUAAACGGAGUGCUUGGUGUAAAACUGUGGAAAGUCGAGGUGCUCGUUCUUCAGUCGUCAACUCAAAUGUCGCCGAAGACGCGGAAGUUUUUAUUAUGCUGGGAGAUGAUGCUGCUUUAAAAGGCAAACAGUAGGAGAAUAUUUAGAACCAUUUUCAAAGCGACGAGCAUGCCGGAUGGAGUGAUUUGCGAACGAAGGAUGAUGCACAAAUCAACUGUCAACGACAUAUUAUAAUCUCCAGUGCAAAGCGUUCGCGACUAUCAGAAGCAAUCGGUCAACACAAAAUAGGAUCAGCAGAAAACGUCAUCGUUGGGGGACGGAGGACAUUUGGCGAUUUGGAAGUAUACGACCUUACCGAUGUCUUUCUAAAAAUUUCAAAAUGCUCGUAGCUAAUCGUGGUAAUGGUUAUGACGAACCACGCACCAGAAGAUUGCUCUGGAACUAAACCGCUAGAGGCCACUUUUGAACUGAUGGGUUACCCCUUGGGUUACGCUCUCUCCGACCCGGCUAACAAGAGAGAAUCAGUCGACUUCUUCAUAAACGUCACGAUCUACCGGAAGGAAUACACUCGGAUGCUCAACCAUUACCAAUUCCCUCUGCCGGAAUGCUCAGAGAAGCAAUACGCCACGCCAAAAGCAUUGAUCUUCACUUCUUCCAAUGAUGAUGCUCCUUGUGGUGCCGUUCCUUCGAGUAGUGCUUUGUACAGAGUAUUUUCUCCAGCACUAUCCUAGAAUAGAGUCGGCUGCAGAGCAAGGAAUCGGAAUCGCAGGAAGAAAAGAAGGGAUGAUCCACCUUUGGAGGAGGCAGUGUAUGCCCUCUAUAUGACAACCAGGGCGACUGCAACAACGAGCAAGACUGGAUCAGCUAGCUGACGCUGAAUCCGAUAAGCUUCGGCGAUAGUUUACAUUCUGUCGUAUUUACGUCGAAUAAUUAUAUCAACAGUGAUCACAUGAAUAACGAUUGCAAUGGACGUAGCAGCGGUGGCAGCUGUUACAACAAUGGUAGACGGGAUGGGAUCAAAAACAGAACCAAGACGGUUCGAAUGCGCACAACUUGCAUUACUCGAACCACGGAGAAUGUUUAUGAUGUGAAAUAUAAAUCAUAGCAUGUAUAAACAUAAAUAGAAUCAUAUCAAUAAGUAAAAUAAAAACUUUCAAAUUUGUAAUUUUUAGUUUGACGUGUUUAAUUCAAAUUGAAAGCGUGCGCAACUUGUUGUUCUGAAAGUAUCACUACUUGAUUCUAAUGUAAAAUACACAUUUAGUUUUAAGAGGAAAAUGUUAUUUUUAAAAUAAAAACACAUUUAGU
Long non-coding RNA from Armigeres subalbatus, 1631 nucleotides. RefSeq lists it as uncharacterized. The record is from RefSeq and is a predicted model, not a curated record. NCBI's taxonomy places the organism in Eukaryota, Metazoa, Arthropoda, Insecta, Diptera, Culicidae. The transcript is spliced from 3 exons.